RNAcentral lists this ribosomal RNA (244 nucleotides) under uncultured bacterium. Its description in RNAcentral is "partial 16S ribosomal RNA". It matches the Rfam family "Bacterial small subunit ribosomal RNA", at positions 100 to 353 of the family's 1533-position model. The record is from RNAcentral.
GGACGGGUGAGUAAUGUAUAGGAAUCUACCUUAUGGUAAGGGAUAACGCAGGGAAACUUGCGCUAAUACCGGAUGUGACCUACGGGUGAAAGGGGGCGCAAGCUCUUGCUAUUAGAUGAGCCUAAAUCAGAUUAGCUAGUUGGUGGGGUAAAGGCCCACCAAGGCGACGAUCUGUAACUGGUCUGAGAGGAUGAUCAGUCACACCGGAACUGAGACACGGUCCGGACUCCUACGGGAGGCAGCA